GCAAUGUCCAAAGAUCCAGUCCAGUUACAAUGAAAUGAUCUGCCAUGGGAUCCAGCAGUGCAGUCUCUUCUCCUCUUCAUUUCUAAAUCUCAAAAGCAUUUUCUUCAGCACUAAGGCAUUAAAUCAACAAUCUCCACCAAAAUGAUGAAUUACUUCGUUGACUUGCUUGGAUUCCCGCUUUAAGCCUCCCCACAAACCUCUCCAAGCCAUCAGACAGCAUCAGUGGCACAGGAAAGGUGACAGAGGUGAGUGAACAUAAGAUAUUAUCAAAACGUGGUUCAGAAGGCAUGCUGGGCUCCUGGUGCCUGCGUAAUACCUUGGAAAUUACAUCCAAAGGAAAUUUAAAAAACAAGAAGAAAAAGAAAAAAGCCUGCUAUUCCUUUGCUGCUUCAAAGCAUAUUUUUCAACAAAGUAAAGGCAGGUUUUUGCCUGAACUUAUUAGUAAUUCUGUACCGGAUAUGCUUCAAGAUCCUUUAUCUAAGACUGCAGAACAUUUUGCUUUAAAACCCUGGUUGGAAAUGUUAAUGAAUCCCUGCAAGCAGGUUGAAACUCACAUCAGAAGUCCCAUGAUCCUGUGGAUAUUGGAAGAUCAGGAAAAGUAUUUCAGAAGCCUAUAA
This 617-nucleotide long non-coding RNA is filed under the name Anas zonorhyncha (Eastern spot-billed duck). RNAcentral describes it as "lncRNA (ENSAZOG00000007824.1)". The record is from RNAcentral. Lineage: Eukaryota; Metazoa; Chordata; Aves; Anseriformes; Anatidae.